RNAcentral lists this long non-coding RNA (1332 nucleotides) under Myripristis murdjan (pinecone soldierfish). RNAcentral's name for it is "lncRNA (ENSMMDG00005006046.1)". The record is from RNAcentral. Lineage: Eukaryota; Metazoa; Chordata; Actinopteri; Holocentriformes; Holocentridae.
CGCUUACGCAACUUCCGCUCUACGCAACGCGGAAGGAUUUGUAAACAAGACAAGCGGAGCGCUCGUAAAGCCAAAAAAGAAAAAAAGGAAAAAAAAAAAAAAAAAUGCCGAAAGCGCAAGAAAAGAGCAAGUCGGAUUUCUUUGUGUGGACUGACAGCGAAGUGGAGCUGCUGCUGAUGGUGACAUACGAGUACAAAGUGGCCAAAGCCAUGGAAAACGUGGACUGGGAGUCCUGCCAGAGCAAAUAUGCAGAAAUCUCAGAGAGACUCAAGCAGCAGUAUCCAGCGGCUGAGGACGAAAACAUGGUAAGAGACUACCCGCACAAGAUGGAAGAAAUCACAAAGGCGAUCGUGACAUGCAAGCUGAAGGCCAUUAGAUACAAGUACAGACGAGCCGUGGAGACUGGGAGGAAAGCCGGCCACGGCAGGGUCAUUCUCUUGUAUUUUGAGCUGUGUGAACAAAUUUGGAGAGGCUCUCCUGCCACAGCGACCGCUCCUGCUCGACUUGAACCAGAUAAGAUUGGAGGCACAACUUGUGAGUUUUUAUCUGGCCCAGAGUCGGGGAGAGAGGUGCAAGACGAAUGGGAAGUGCUUACUGAUCAGUAUUCGAAUGAGCCCGCAGAAAUCGAUAGUCGACGGGACAGAGUCGGCUCCAGGCUUUUGGGUUACAAGCAGGAGAGACGGAAAAGGAAACUAUCCACGGACAGCCAGUUUCUAGCCAUAGCCCACGAGGAGCUGAAAAUAUCAAGGCGGAUGAUGGAGAAGAUGGUGGAGACCGACAACAAGCUGUUGGGGACAAUGAACAGGCUGGCCAACAACCUGGAGAGACUGACCGACUCCAUCGCUCAGGGGUUUGCAAUGAUGCGGCAGGUGAUGCUGCAGCCUCCCCACGCCUCUCCUCUGCAUCUCUUUCCACACAGGCCAGCCACAUCCACCGCCACGCAGACAGAGGAGGCAGCGGAGGGCCUGCCCACAGUGAAGGAAGAGUACAAUCAGCAAGUUGUGAUCCAGGUCGAGGUUAAAAAUGAACAAAUAGAGUGAAGCAAAGCUCUCUCGAUUCAUUAUCAUCAUCAGCGACAGACCUGCAUACAGAAUGACUGUAUAAAGCCAGAAACCUGACUGUGUUCAUACAAGCAGCAUAUUUAUCACUCUUCAGUGGACUGAUGUUUUCCUGGAAAUGUGUCUGUUUUGAUACCCAGUUAUACUGUAGACAACAUAAAUUAAAAGAUAGGCUGUGUAAUUGAACCAAGUAAACUUCUGUUCAUUUGGUUAUGAGUGACUAUACACUUUAUUAACCGCUUAAUAUUCUGGCCCUUUCUUGGACCAAUUUGAG